AUAUUUAAGAGUUUGAUCCUGGCUCAGGAUGAACGCUGGCGGCGUGCCUAACACAUGCAAGUCGAGCGCGAUUAAGUGGAACUGAGACUUCGGUCAAAGAGAAACUUAUGAAAGCGGCGGACGGGUGAGUAACGCGUGGGUAACCUGCCCCAUACAAAGGGAUA
RNAcentral lists this ribosomal RNA (164 nucleotides) under Fusibacter bizertensis. RNAcentral describes it as "partial 16S ribosomal RNA". It matches the Rfam family "Bacterial small subunit ribosomal RNA", at positions 1 to 145 of the family's 1533-position model. The record is from RNAcentral. Lineage: Bacteria; Bacillati; Bacillota; Clostridia; Eubacteriales; Fusibacteraceae.